CUUGAAUUAAAAAAAUAUUACUUUUGAAGGAAAGGGGAUGCAGAAGAUGAAAUCCUCCCCAUGAAAGUUUAUUCGGGAACAAGCGGCCUAGCCGUAAAAGGCACGCAUUCCACAAACAAUAAUCACCUCUUCUUAUUCAUCUAAAGUGAAAAGGAUGAUACGAAAAUACAUGCGAUAGACCUCAAUCCUCCCCUCAAAGGGGCCCGUCAAAUCACAAGAAAAAGUAAAGAAAGGCAAAUAAAAUAAAGAACAAAAUAAAUGAGAGCUAUUACACCGAUAAGAACAACCCCAACUACGUAGGAUCCGGAGCAAGAAAUCCAAAUCAACGGUUCCUCUAGAGAAGCAUCACAACGGCCCCAACCGACGCUAGCACUCCCAUGCUGACGCCAUGCACGAUGGAACCCGAAUCAGCCGUAGCGGACGCCGCGGGCUCCGCCGCCGGAGUUAGCGAUGCCGGACCAGGGGAAGCCAAGGGGGCCGAACUCUUCGAUGGAGUCGGUGCGGCGGUGGUUGGAGCCGCCGCCUUCAGAGAUGGCGAGGGAGCAGGCGUGGCAGCGGGUGGAGAUGCAGGGGGAACUGGAGCCGGUGGUGGUGCCAUCGGUGNNNNNNNNNNNNNNNNNNNNNNNNNN
Molecule: long non-coding RNA, 629 nt
Filed under: Phoenix dactylifera (date palm)
Lineage: Eukaryota; Viridiplantae; Streptophyta; Magnoliopsida; Arecales; Arecaceae
Description: long non-coding RNA (PDAC_LNC001216)
Source: RNAcentral